GACAGAGGUGCCGAGCGUUAGGCGGAAUCACUGGGCUUAAAGCGUGUGUAGGCGGAUUGGUAAGUACCUUGUGAAAUCCCACAGCUUAACUGUGGAACUGCUUGGUAUACUGCUUAUCUUGGGCCACUUAGGGGUUACCGGAACAAACGGUGGAGCGGUGAAAUGCGUAGAUAUCGUUUGGAACGCCAAUGGUGAAAACAGGUAACUGGGAGUGUGCCGACGCUGAGACACGAAAGCCAGGGGAGCGAACGGG
RNAcentral lists this ribosomal RNA (253 nucleotides) under Tepidisphaera sp. RNAcentral's name for it is "partial 16S ribosomal RNA". It matches the Rfam family "Bacterial small subunit ribosomal RNA", at positions 524 to 776 of the family's 1533-position model. RNAcentral also lists the same sequence under 1 other name. The record is from RNAcentral. Lineage: Bacteria; Pseudomonadati; Planctomycetota; Phycisphaerae; Tepidisphaerales; Tepidisphaeraceae.